This 73-nucleotide transfer RNA is filed under the name Canis lupus familiaris (dog). It matches the Rfam family "tRNA". Rfam says of the family: Transfer RNA (tRNA) molecules are approximately 80 nucleotides in length. Their secondary structure includes four short double-helical elements and three loops (D, anti-codon, and T loops). Lineage: Eukaryota; Metazoa; Chordata; Mammalia; Carnivora; Canidae. The record is from Rfam by way of RNAcentral. RNAcentral also lists the same sequence under 2 other names.
GCCUGGCUGGCUCAGCUGGUGGAGUAUGUGACUCUUGAUCUCAGGGCUGUGAGUUCGAGCCCUACACUGGGUA